Molecule: ribosomal RNA, 480 nt
Filed under: bacterium DST5
Lineage: Bacteria
Description: bacterial SSU rRNA
Rfam family: Bacterial small subunit ribosomal RNA
Source: RNAcentral
UGCAAGUCGAGCGAACAGACGAGGAGCUUGCUCCUCUGACGUUAGCGGCGGACGGGUGAGUAACACGUGGAUAACCUACCUAUAAGACUGGGAUAACUUCGGGAAACCGGAGCUAAUACCGGAUAACAUGUUGAACCGCAUGGUUCAACAGUGAAAGACGGUCUUGCUGUCACUUAUAGAUGGAUCCGCGCCGCAUUAGCUAGUUGGUAAGGUAACGGCUUACCAAGGCAACGAUGCGUAGCCGACCUGAGAGGGUGAUCGGCCACACUGGAACUGAGACACGGUCCAGACUCCUACGGGAGGCAGCAGUAGGGAAUCUUCCGCAAUGGGCGAAAGCCUGACGGAGCAACGCCGCGUGAGUGAAGAAGGUCUUCGGAUCGUAAAACUCUGUUAUUAGGGAAGAACAAAUGUGUAAGUAACUAUGCACGUCUUGACGGUACCUAAUCAGAAAGCCACGGCUAACUACGUGCCAGCAGCCGC